Non-coding RNA from Calidris pugnax (ruff), 1209 nucleotides. The record is from the annotation of a RefSeq genome assembly. Lineage: Eukaryota; Metazoa; Chordata; Aves; Charadriiformes; Scolopacidae.
AUGUUCUUGAGGUGGAGAUAUCUCCUUGAGGUCCCAUGGGGCUGCCCCACCUUAACCCCGCCCCUUUUUUUUUUGGUGUCCCCAGCCCGGCCGACGUCCCCCCAGAUCUUCCCCCUGGUGGCCUGCGGUAACCCCACCCCCACGGCCUUGGGUUGUCUGGCGGACGGUUACUUCCCCGCUCCGGUGAAGGUCACCUGGGACGGUGGGGUGGCCGGUGUCACCUUCCCGGCGGCUCGUAGGUCCUCGGGGCUCUACGUGGGGGCCAGCAGCCAUGACGUCACCGGGAACCCCCUUCGUUGCACCGUCCGGCACGAGGCCACCGGCUUCAGCAAGAGCAUCGAGGUGACAGUGAGCCGCAUCCAGGCCCCCACCGUGGAGCUUCUCCACACCUGCGACUCCGAGGAUGUCCACCUCCUCUGCCUCGUCACCGGCUUCUCCCCGGUCCCCGUCACCCUGCAGUGGUUGGUCAACGGUCACCCCUUGGGAUCUCCUGAGCAGCUCCCCGCCUCCCGCGAUGCCACCGGUGUCACCUUCACGGCCACCUCCAGCCUCAACGUCACCUUGGGGGAGUGGCAGGAGAAGAUCUACAGCUGUAAGGUCACCCACGCCGCCUCCGAGACCAUCCAGGAGGUCAAGGGACACAAGUGCAUGAGUUCUCCUCCCGGCAGCGAUUCCGUCCAACUCUUCAUCCUUCCCCCUUCUCCUUCCGACCUCUACGUCUCCCAGAACCCCGUCCUCCGUUGCAUGGCCACCAGUUUGACCAGUGACCAAGGACUGGAGGUCACUUGGACCCGUCAGUUGGGGGGCUCCCUCCGCCCCAGAGACCUUCUCCUGGAGGACCAAUACAACGGCACCUACACGGCCAUCAGCGAGGUCCCCGUCACCGUCCAGGAUUGGGAGAAAGGGGACACCUUCACCUGCACCAUCCGCCACAGCGACCUCCCCUCCCCCCUCAGCCGCAGCAUCAGCAGGAGACCCGGUAAGGAAGACCCGCCCCCUUUCCUUAUUUAUGGAGGAGGUGGUGGAGAUGGUGAAAACGGUGGAGAUGAGGAGGUGGUGGAGAUGGAGGAGGUGGUGGAGAUGGAGGAGAUUGUGAAGAUGGUGGAGGUGGUGGAGAUGGAGGAGAUGGAGGACACUGUGGAGAUAGAGGAGAUGGAGGAGAUGGAGGAGAUGGAGGAGAUGGUGGAGAUGGUAGAGAUGAGGAAAUGA